AGUCAACGCUGGCGGCGUGCCUCAGACAUGCAAGUCGAACGCGAAAUUUCCCUUCGGGGAGAAAGUAGAGUGGCGCACGGGUGAGUAACACGUAGGUAAUUUGCCUUUGGGUGGGGAAUAACUCAGGGAAACUUGAGCUAAUACCGCAUAAUGCAGCGGCUCGACAUCGAGACAGUUGUUAAAGCGGGGAGUCGCAAGACCUCGCGCCUGAAGAGAAGCCUGCGGCAGAUUAGCUAGUUGGUAGGGUAAUGGCCGUACCAAGGCAACGAUCUGUAACCGGCCUGAGAGGGCGGGUCGGUCACACUGACACU
This 311-nucleotide ribosomal RNA is filed under the name uncultured bacterium. Its description in RNAcentral is "bacterial SSU rRNA". It matches the Rfam family "Bacterial small subunit ribosomal RNA", at positions 32 to 320 of the family's 1533-position model. The record is from RNAcentral.